RNAcentral lists this ribosomal RNA (231 nucleotides) under Triticum aestivum (bread wheat). RNAcentral's name for it is "partial small subunit ribosomal RNA". The record is from RNAcentral. Lineage: Eukaryota; Viridiplantae; Streptophyta; Magnoliopsida; Poales; Poaceae.
AUGGCUACAGAAGCGGGAACCGUCCGGCCAGUCGCGGUCGCCGGCGACGUGGGGGUGCCGGUGCUCCUGGCCACGGACAAGGACCGGCCGGUGGACCCGGUGAUCUGGGGCGACGAGCAGCGGAUGAAGAGGGAGCUCAUGGCGUGGGCCAAGGCCGUCGCGUCCAUGGCGCUCAAGGUCUCGUCGGCCCCGCCGCCUUCCAUGGCACACGCGACCAGGUGUACGGCUUAG